RNAcentral lists this ribosomal RNA (683 nucleotides) under Bacillus tequilensis. RNAcentral's name for it is "bacterial SSU rRNA". It matches the Rfam family "Bacterial small subunit ribosomal RNA", at positions 377 to 1049 of the family's 1533-position model. The record is from RNAcentral. Lineage: Bacteria; Bacillati; Bacillota; Bacilli; Caryophanales; Bacillaceae.
GAAAGUCUGACGGAGCAACGCCGCGUGAGUGAUGAAGGUUUUCGGAUCGUAAAGCUCUGUUGUUAGGGAAGAACAAAGUACCGUUCGAAUAGGGCGGUACCUUGACGGUACCUAACCAGAAAGCCACGGCUAACUACGUGCCAGCAGCCGCGGUAAUACGUAGGUGGCAAGCGUUGUCCGGAAUUAUUGGGCGUAAAGGGCUCGCAGGCGGUUUCUUAAGUCUGAUGUGAAAGCCCCCGGCUCAACCGGGGAGGGUCAUUGGAAACUGGGGAACUUGAGUGCAGAAGAGGAGAGUGGAAUUCCACGUGUAGCGGUGAAAUGCGUAGAGAUGUGGAGGAACACCAGUGGCGAAGGCGACUCUCUGGUCUGUAACUGACGCUGAGGAGCGAAAGCGUGGGGAGCGAACAGGAUUAGAUACCCUGGUAGUCCACGCCGUAAACGAUGAGUGCUAAGUGUUAGGGGGUUUCCGCCCCUUAGUGCUGCAGCUAACGCAUUAAGCACUCCGCCUGGGGAGUACGGUCGCAAGACUGAAACUCAAAGGAAUUGACGGGGGCCCGCACAAGCGGUGGAGCAUGUGGUUUAAUUCGAAGCAACGCGAAGAACCUUACCAGGUCUUGACAUCCUCUGACAAUCCUAGAGAUAGGACGUCCCCUUCGGGGGCAGAGUGACAGGUGGUGCAUGGU